This 253-nucleotide ribosomal RNA is filed under the name uncultured bacterium. RNAcentral describes it as "partial 16S ribosomal RNA". It matches the Rfam family "Bacterial small subunit ribosomal RNA", at positions 524 to 776 of the family's 1533-position model. The record is from RNAcentral.
UACGUAGGGUGCAAGCGUUAAUCGGAAUUACUGGGCGUAAAGCGUGCGCAGGCGGUGAUGUAAGACAGGUGUGAAAUCCCCGGGCUUAACCUGGGAACUGCAUUUGUGACUGCAUCGCUGGAGUGUGGCAGAGGGGGGUGGAAUUCCGCGUGUAGCAGUGAAAUGCGUAGAGAUGCGGAGGAACACCGAUGGCGAAGGCAGCCCCCUGGGCUAACACUGACGCUCAGGCACGAAAGCGUGGGGAGCAAACAGG